Long non-coding RNA from Protopterus annectens (West African lungfish), 485 nucleotides. RefSeq lists it as uncharacterized. Lineage: Eukaryota; Metazoa; Chordata; Ceratodontiformes; Protopteridae. The record is from RefSeq and is a predicted model, not a curated record. The transcript has 3 exons.
UAUCAACAUUCAAAUCAGCAGGGUGAUUACUAGCAGUUAUGUAACAAACACGGAAGUUGGGGUUACUGGGGAAGACACCGCCAGCCGUGGUCCGUAACUUAGCGACCAGGGUAUUGAUGUUCCUGCAUACAACACUGCACAGGAACGUGAACACAUUUAAAAAUACUAUCCGACAAGAGUCCCAAAGACAAUCAUAAGGCGAACUGUAGAAAGCUUUUGGUUACCCUGAGCUGACAAGUAGAAAAUACAAGUGAUGGAAGGAAAGGAUAAUGAAACAGAUCUUGCAGUACUCACCCAGAAGCAUAAUGUGACAUUAUACCUGGCACCAGUGUUCGAUGUGAUCCAUUCUCAUACAUGUACACCAGCAGCAUUGACCAUAUGAAGCAGCAUUGCUUGCAGCAUAAUAAAAUUCUUCCCUACAAAAGGAGUGCUGGUAGUAGUUAUAAUUCUGAGACUCAUAAGUGGAAGUCCUAGAACGGUGAGAC